Molecule: ribosomal RNA, 495 nt
Filed under: uncultured bacterium
Lineage: Bacteria
Description: bacterial SSU rRNA
Rfam family: Bacterial small subunit ribosomal RNA
Source: RNAcentral
AGGACGAACGCUGGCGGCGUGGAUUAGGCAUGCAAGUCGGACGGUAGGGCUUUAUCGUAAGAUAGAGUUUGAGAGUGGCGAACGGGUGAGUAACACGUAGGAAUCUACCCUUAAGACGGGGACAACCCAGGGAAACUUGGGCUAAUACCGGAUGAGAGUGCGAGAGAUUGCAUUUAAAAGGAUGGCGAAAGUUGUCGCUUAGGGAUGAGCCUGCGGUCUAUUAGUUAGUUGGUGAGGUAAGAGCUCACCAAGGCGAUGAUAGAUAGGCGGCCUUAACGGGUGGUCGCCCACACUGGGAUUGAGAUACGGCCCAGACUCCUACGGGAGGCAGCAGUGGGGAAUAUUGGGCAAUGGGCGAAAGCCUGACCCAGCGACGCCGCGUGGGUGAUGAAGGCCUUCGGGUUGUAAAACCCUUUCGUGCGGAAAGAAUAGUCCUGUAGCGAAUAACUACGGGAUUUGACGGUACCGCAGGAAGAAGCACCGGCUAACUCCGUG